RNAcentral lists this ribosomal RNA (494 nucleotides) under uncultured bacterium. Its description in RNAcentral is "partial 16S ribosomal RNA". It matches the Rfam family "Bacterial small subunit ribosomal RNA", at positions 28 to 507 of the family's 1533-position model. The record is from RNAcentral.
GACGAACGCUGGCGGCGUGCUUAACACAUGCAAGUCGAACGGUGAAGCGCCUUCCUUUUUGGUGGGUGUGGAUGAGUGGCGAACGGGUGAGUAACACGUGAGUAACCUGCCCCCUUCUUCUGGAUAACCGCAUGAAAGUGUGGCUAAUACGGGAUAUUCUGGGUCUGUCGCAUGAUGGGUCUGGGAAAGAUAUUGUUUCGGUGGGGGAUGGGCUCGCGGCCUAUCAGCUUGUUGGUGGGGUGAUGGCCUACCAAGGCGGUGACGGGUAGCCGGCCUGAGAGGGUGGACGGUCAUACUGGGACUGAGACACGACCCAGACUCCUACGGGAGGCAGCAGUGGGGAAUAUUGCACAAUGGGCGCAAGCCUGAUGCAGCGACGCCGCGUGAGGGAUGGAGGCCUUCGGGUUGUGAACCUCUUUCGCCAGUGAAGCAGGCCUGCCUCGUUUGUGGGUGGGUUGACGGUAGCUGGAUAAGAAGCGCCGGCUAACUACGUG